This 460-nucleotide ribosomal RNA is filed under the name uncultured bacterium. RNAcentral's name for it is "partial 16S ribosomal RNA". It matches the Rfam family "Bacterial small subunit ribosomal RNA", at positions 338 to 795 of the family's 1533-position model. The record is from RNAcentral.
CCUACGGGAGGCAGCAGUGAGGAAUAUUGGUCAAUGGACGAGAGUCUGAACCAGCCAAGUAGCGUGAAGGAUGACUGCCCUAUGGGUUGUAAACUUCUUUUAUAUGGGAAUAAAAUGUUCCACGUGUGGGAUUUUGUAUGUACCAUAUGAAUAAGGAUCGGCUAACUCCGUGCCAGCAGCCGCGGUAAUACGGAGGAUCCGAGCGUUAUCCGGAUUUAUUGGGUUUAAAGGGAGCGUAGGUGGAUUGUUAAGUCAGUUGUGAAAGUUUGCGGCUCAACCGUAAAAUUGCAGUUGAAACUGGCAGGCUUGAGUACAGUAGAGGUGGGCGGAAUUCGUGGUGUAGCGGUGAAAUGCUUAGAUAUCACGAAGAACGCCGAUGGCGAAGGCAGCUCACUGGACUGCAACUGACACUGAGGCUCGAAAGUGUGGGUAUCAAACAGGAUUAGAUACCCGAGUAGUC